Ictidomys tridecemlineatus (thirteen-lined ground squirrel) is the source of this 73-nucleotide non-coding RNA. NCBI's taxonomy places the organism in Eukaryota, Metazoa, Chordata, Mammalia, Rodentia, Sciuridae. The record is from Rfam.
GGGGUUAUAGCUCAGAUGGUAGAGUGCUUACCUUGCAUGCACAAGGUCCUGGGUUCAAUCCCCAGCGUCACCA